UACGGAAGGUGCAAGCGUUGUCCGGAUUGACUGGGUGUAAAGGGCGCGUAGGCGGAGAGGUGUGUCGGGAGUGAAAUCGUGCGGCUUAACCGUACAAUGGCUUUCGAAACUACCUCCCUUGAGUACAGAAGGUGUUGAUGGAAUACCUGUUGUAGCGGUGGAAUGCGUAGAUAUCAGGUAGAACACCGGAGGCGAAGGCGGUCAACUGGUCUGUAACUGACGCUGAGGCGCGAAAGUGUGGGGAUCAAACAGG
This 253-nucleotide ribosomal RNA is filed under the name uncultured bacterium. RNAcentral describes it as "partial 16S ribosomal RNA". It matches the Rfam family "Bacterial small subunit ribosomal RNA", at positions 524 to 776 of the family's 1533-position model. The record is from RNAcentral.